UUUCCGUAGGUGAACCUGCGGAAGGAUCAUUAAUGAAAUGCAAGGACGCUCUUUUUAGAGGUCCGACCCAAAUCAUUUUCCUUUACACUGUGCACAUACUACUUUUUUACACCAAUUUUUAACACAUCAGUUUUAAGAAUGUAAAUCAAGUCUCGAAAGAGCAAUAAAUAAAACAAAACUUUCAGCAACGGAUCUCUUGGCUCUCGCAUCGAUGAAGAACGCAGC
Molecule: unclassified non-coding RNA, 225 nt
Filed under: uncultured fungus
Lineage: Eukaryota; Fungi
Description: sequence contains ITS1, 5.8S rRNA gene
Rfam family: 5.8S ribosomal RNA (bases 177-225)
Source: RNAcentral